AGAGGAUGCUGUUUUUUUUUUGUUGUUGCUAUUGUUUAGAAGGUUUGAGAGAUCAGAUCUGUUUACUAAAAAGAUUAAUUUGGUGAUUUUGUGGGGCUAGCUUGGAGAAGAAGAGAGAUUAGAAAUAUUGAAGAAAGAAAAUAUUGGAGUCAUAUGACCAAUUUUAAGGCUCUGACAAUAUUCUGAGUGAGAGAAUAAAGGAAGAAAAAGAGAAGAAGAAAACAAAGAGAAAGAGAUACAGGCCCAGUGAUGAGGACAGAGGCAAGGGCAGUUCAUUUUACAGGAGUGUCUUCCUAUUGCUAUUGAUGAAUACAGCAGCUGGAGGGAGUAGGAACGAGGAUGAGGUGGCAGAAAUUAAGAGGAAGGAAAAAAAUCAUUUUCAAAAUGAUAAUGUGAGUGAUGAGUAAUAGGUAAACAAAUAUGACAUUUGGCAUUUGUACCAAUAGUAUUCUGUCUGUAAGCCCUUUCAUCUUUUUCUCUAGAUGUAGGCCAUCAGUUUUACACUAUAAUGCCCUUCUAGAUUUUAGAUAGGUUUUUUUGGUAACAGAAGUAAUAACUUCUUGAAUCAAUCAAUCAAUAAAUAGUGCUGAGUACAUAAUAAUUGUCUAAUA
This 611-nucleotide long non-coding RNA is filed under the name Monodelphis domestica (gray short-tailed opossum). RNAcentral describes it as "lncRNA (ENSMODG00000036113.2)". The record is from RNAcentral. Lineage: Eukaryota; Metazoa; Chordata; Mammalia; Didelphimorphia; Didelphidae.